GGGGAAAUAUUCCGUAGAUAGUAGCGGGGCAGACUGUAAAUCUGUUGCCUUCGGGCUCGGGUGGUGCAACUCCAUCUUUCCCCA
Molecule: transfer RNA, 84 nt
Filed under: Candidatus Mediterraneibacter cottocaccae
Lineage: Bacteria; Bacillati; Bacillota; Clostridia; Lachnospirales; Lachnospiraceae
Description: tRNA-Tyr
Rfam family: tRNA
About the family: Transfer RNA (tRNA) molecules are approximately 80 nucleotides in length.
Source: RNAcentral